This 223-nucleotide non-coding RNA is filed under the name Candidatus Omnitrophota bacterium. The record is from RNAcentral. Lineage: Bacteria; Pseudomonadati; Candidatus Omnitrophota.
AAUCAAUUUUAUCUAUAUGGCCCUCACAGAUGAGGUUAAAAGGGAAUCCGGUGCGCCUAACGGCAAAUCCGGAACGGUCCCGCCGCUGUAAUCCGAUCCUUUUCGUUUCAAAGGGAAAAGGAGGUUUUUGGCCGCUGUAUCCACUGCUUCUUAAUUAGAGAAGCGGGAAGGAAAGUCAAAAACUUAGGAAAGUCAGAAGACCUGCCUUAUAGUUAUAAUGUUU